Molecule: ribosomal RNA, 468 nt
Filed under: uncultured bacterium
Lineage: Bacteria
Description: partial 16S ribosomal RNA
Rfam family: Bacterial small subunit ribosomal RNA
Source: RNAcentral
GACGAACGCUGGCGGCGUGCUUAACACAUGCAAGUCGAACGGAAAGGCCCUGCUUUUGUGGGGUGCUCGAGUGGCGAACGGGUGAGUAACACGUGAGUAACCUGCCCUUGCCUUUGGGAUAACUUCAGGAAACUGGGGCUAAUACCGGAUAGGAGCUCCUGCUGCAUGGUGGGGGUUGGAAAGUUUCGGCGGUUGGGGAUGGACUCGCGGCUUAUCAGCUUGUUGGUGGGGUAGUGGCUUACCAAGGCUUUGACGGGUAGCCGGCCUGAGAGGGUGACCGGCCACAUUGGGACUGAGAUACGGCCCAGACUCCUACGGGAGGCAGCAGUGGGGAAGAUUGCACAAUGGGCGGAAGCCUGAUGCAGCAACGCCGCGUGCGGGAUGACGGCCUUCGGGUUGUAAACCGCUUUCGCCUGUGACGAAGCGUGAGUGACGGUAAUGGGUAAAGAAGCACCGGCUAACUACGUG